Molecule: small RNA, 2743 nt
Filed under: Pongo abelii (Sumatran orangutan)
Lineage: Eukaryota; Metazoa; Chordata; Mammalia; Primates; Hominidae
Description: retained intron
Source: RNAcentral
UUUGAAGACAAACUUGGGGUUCACUAUAUUUAACACGUAGGACCCCUAGUAUCUGCCACUGGCCUGCAGGGGGUGGCUGCAGGGACACACACCUGUUGGGUGCCUGCUGGUUCCACCCAGGAGCACAGCCAGCAGCCUCAUGCCUCCUGCCCCCUGGCAGUCGAGUGCAUGUGGAGCGGGUGGCCUUGGCCUCGACAGGGUUCCCAGGGUCCCACUGGAAGCCCCACGUGGAACUGUGCCUCUGGGACGUCGCUCCGGGGACCUUGGGUGUGGGCUGGCCCCAUCCUGUGGGGAGGUCCUGGGAGGGUCAGUCUGGCCCGCCUGCCUGCUGACUUGGGUGUGGCCCGAGCAGGUAAAGGCAACACAGGAGGAGAACCGGGAGCUGAGGAGCAGGUGUGAGGAGCUCCAUGGGAAGAACCUGGAGCUGGGGUAAGGAGGACCUACCCCCUGUCCUCCCUGUCCCCAUCCCCCUCGCCAUCCCUGUCCCUGUCCCCAUCCCCACCUGACCGCUGGGCACCCGAGGCCAUGGCUGUGUGUGUGUUCUCCUCCCACAGGAAGAUCAUGGACAGGUUCGAAGAGGUUGUGUACCAGGCCAUGGGUGAGUGCCCGGGCCGCCGAGGCCACAUGCCUCCACGAGGGGCUGCCUAUGCCCGACCCUGGCCCUGCCCUGCACCCUGCCUAGGACCCCACCCUCCUGAGGCCCCUUUUCCUAACACACGAGUCCCUUCAACAUGGGCCCAGCCGUGGAACCACUGAGGCAAGUUGCGGGGAAGUUGGUGGUAUAGUGAGGCCGGUGGUGUAGUGAGGCCGGUGGUGUAGUGAGGCUGGCGGCUCCUAUGCAGCCAGCGCUUGUCAGGCCCCAAAGUUGUGCAGAUGCUGAGCUAACAGUGGGGCUAUGGUGGGAGCAGAGUCUGUCCCACCGUGGCCUGCCCCACUCCACCCUGCCCUCACCAUGCGGCUAUGUCUAGCAGCAGCCUCUGUAGGUGUCUGGCAGGACAGGAACACCAGGCCUCACCUGGCCUCCCAAAAGCUUGGGCUCCUGGAGGUGCUAUUGUGGGGAUCUGUCUUAGGCUGAGUGUCAACCGGGGGCAGGUGACUGCCUGGCCCUUGUAGUCCCUCCAGGACCACCACGAAGCACGACCCACAGCCUGGAGCUCGCCAUACCGGCUCCCAAGCCUCACCCUAGGCUCUAGGGUGUUGGGCACCGCCUCUUCAGGGACCUCUGGCCCAGGAUCCAGUUCCCUGCGGAUCUGAUGUGGAGGAAACAGCUGUUUCCUGGGCCUUGCAUCUGGCCUAGGAAGAUCCCGGGUGGAGGGGCUCAUCACCCUGCCGAGGCUCACACCCACUGCCCGCCUCUCCUCCUGGCGCUCGAGUCCCUCGCCUUAUCCCUUGGGCUGUCUCUGGCACCCAGCUUUUCGGUUGCCUCCUCAUCCUGAACGUUUGCUUUUCUUUUCUCAAGAGGAAGUUCAGAAACAGAAGGAACUUGCCAAAGCUGAAAUCCAGAAAGUUCUAAAAGAAAAAGACCAACUUACUACAGAUCUGAACUCCAUGGAGAAGUCCUUCUCCGACCUCUUCAAGCGUUUCGAGAAACAGAAGGAAGUGAUCGAGGGCUACCGCAAGGUAUGUCUCCGCCACCCUGGUGUCCUCACCUCGGAGGUUGAUGGACUCAUGGUCCAAGCCAGCGGGGCUACAAGCUGCUGUCUUUGCACCUUGGUCCUUGGCCAAGCCUCCCCUUGCCAUGGGGGCAUGGGAUGACCUGUGAACGAGACGGGGUGCAGGAGUCACAGCAUAGCUGGUUUGCGAGGCAGCUGAGGGUGGCAGGAGGCAGAGUGAGCAGGGAGGCCAUCUGAGCCGUCCGCUGUUGUGUGAAAGACGACAGCUAUGAUCAAACAUCUGUGAGAUUUGAGACAGCACUGGCGCACCGGGGCCUGGGGCACCUUGGAAAGGUGUCCAGUCUGUCCGAGUGCUUGGGUCCCAAGGGUUGGGGACCCAGGGCAUGCAGUAUCCAAGGCGGGAGGCCCACAGAAAGGUGGUCACGGCUGUGCAAGGCUGCCCUGCUGUCCUCCUGGCCACAGGACUCUGAGCCCUGCCACCUUCUUUGCUGGGCAAGGCCCACAUGCUUGCUGGAAGGAGGGAUGUCUGGGCCAUCCGUCUGCCUGGAGCAGGCCUGGAAGGUACCUGCGAGGCCGCCAGAGGGUUCUGCCCACAGCAGCAGUGUUGGAGCAGAGGUGCUCAACGCCUCCUGUAGCUGGACCUGCGGGUGCAGCCGGAAGAGGGGCUGUCACUGUUGGUGCAAGGGGGUUGAGGACACCAGAUGGGUCCCCUGGGAGUCAGAUAAACUGGAACAGCAGCCUUUGCAGGGCCUGGCUGAGCCACACCUCAUCUGAGUCCUGAAGUCAGGUGGGUGUCAGUGGCUGGGGCCCUGUUGCCUAAGAGAAGCAAGCCUGAAUACUCUAGGGAAGAAAGUAUCUUACACUUUAAAUUGCAGCUGCAGAGUUUUAAAUUAGUGUCUGGCACAGAAUAACCAAGUGUGAAAGGAACAGGAAACAUGAGUGAAAAUCAGACCCAUUAUUAGAGUGAGGCAUGGUGAUGUACGCCUGUGGUCCCAGCUACUCGGGAGGCUGAGGUGGGAGGAUCGUUUGAGCCCGGGAGGUCGAGGCUGCAGUGAGCCACGAUUGUAUCACUGCACUCCGGCCUGGGCAAUAGACCAAGACCCCCAUCUCUAAAAUUUAAAAAAAAAAAA